GACGAACGCUGGCGGCGUGCUUAACACAUGCCAGUCGAACGGGUCUGCCCUGUUUUUUGCGGGGUGGGUCAGUGGCGAACGGGUGAGUAACACGUGAGUAACCUGCCCCUCACUUCUGGAUAACCGCUUGAAAGGGUGGCUAAUACGGGGUGUUCUGGCUGUGCCGCAUGGUGUGGCUGGGAAAGAUUCACUUUUGUGGUGUUUUGGUGGGGGAUGGGCUCGCGGCCUAUCAGCUUGUUGGUGGGAUGAUGGCCUGCCAAGGCUUUGACGGGUAGCCGGCCUGAGAGGGUGGGCGGUCACACUGGGACUGAGAUACGGCCCAGACUCCUGCGGGAGGCAGCAGUGGGGGGUAUUGCACAAUGGGCGGAAGCCUGAUGCAGCGACGUCGCGUGAGGGAUGGAGGCCUUCGGGUUGUGAACCUCUUUCGCCGGUGAAGAAGGUCCUGCUCUUUGUGGUGGGGUUGACGGUAGCCGGGUUAUGAAGCGCCGGCUAACUACGUG
RNAcentral lists this ribosomal RNA (500 nucleotides) under uncultured bacterium. RNAcentral's name for it is "partial 16S ribosomal RNA". It matches the Rfam family "Bacterial small subunit ribosomal RNA", at positions 28 to 507 of the family's 1533-position model. The record is from RNAcentral.